This is a long non-coding RNA of Lingula anatina, 409 nucleotides long. Lineage: Eukaryota; Metazoa; Brachiopoda; Lingulata; Lingulida; Lingulidae. The record is from RefSeq and is a predicted model, not a curated record.
CGUGAUAGUCACUGUUAUAGAGGGAGCUCAAGCUGUGUGUUGUAAAGCAGACAAGAACGGGUGGUGUGCGGACUGUACUCCGACAACUCCAUAUUGUGGGUAUGGGAAGUGUAACAUAUUCGGCUGUGCUUGCAAAGGAGGCUGCAGAAAGAACUGCAACCCCGUGUACAGCGAUUAUUAUCGUCCACCGCCUUUCUGGGUAAGCUAUUUCCGAAAAUGCAGAUGCCAAAACAAAAGGUCUGUGGAAGAUGGGACCGGGGGAGGUACUGUCGCUAGAGAAACAUACCUUAAUUGAUGCACAUCUAGACGGAUUGCAGAGAAGAAAGAAGCUCAGAAGAUACAUAGCGAUAUUCAGACAAAAUAAAUUUAUGCUGUCGAGUAUAACAAUAGCACAGAUUAUCAAUUGGUA